CAGCCGCCGCGGUAAUACAGAGGAUGCAAGCGUUAUCCGGAAUGAUUGGGCGUAAAGCGUCUGUAGGUGGCUUUUCAAGUCCGCCGUCAAAUCCCAGGGCUCAACCCUGGACAGGCGGUGGAAACUACUAAGCUGGAGUACGGUAGGGGCAGAGGGAAUUUCCGGUGGAGCGGUGAAAUGCGUUGAGAUCGAAAAGAACACCAACGACGAAAGCACUCUGCUGGGUCGACACUGACACUGAGAGACGAAAGCUAGGGGAGCAAAUGGGAUUAGAUACCCCAGUAGUCCCUGUCUCUUAUAA
RNAcentral lists this ribosomal RNA (301 nucleotides) under uncultured bacterium. Its description in RNAcentral is "partial 16S ribosomal RNA". It matches the Rfam family "Bacterial small subunit ribosomal RNA", at positions 509 to 809 of the family's 1533-position model. The record is from RNAcentral.